This 131-nucleotide microRNA precursor is filed under the name Scleropages formosus (Asian bonytongue). Its description in RNAcentral is "MIR480 microRNA precursor family". It matches the Rfam family "MIR480 microRNA precursor family". The record is from Rfam by way of RNAcentral. Lineage: Eukaryota; Metazoa; Chordata; Actinopteri; Osteoglossiformes; Osteoglossidae.
UAUACCAUUUGUGGUAAAGAUUAGUGUGAUUGUGUCAAAAGUUUUUGCAUUACUACCCACCACAAGUAUCUCUGUUUUACUGGCAUUUAGAAAUAAAAAAUUAUUACUCAUCCAUAAUUUUAUAUUGGUAA